Molecule: long non-coding RNA, 1713 nt
Organism: Gouania willdenowi (blunt-snouted clingfish)
Lineage: Eukaryota; Metazoa; Chordata; Actinopteri; Blenniiformes; Gobiesocidae
Source: Ensembl
AUGGGAGGCAAACUAAGCAAGAAGAAGAAGGGAUAUGAUGUGAGCGAUCCGAAAGACAAGAAAGACGAGACCACAGCAACAACAGCUGGUGCAGAAGAAUCUGCUAAAGUGGAAGAUGAAGCUCAACCCACAGGAGCUGACUUGAUUGCAGAGGCAGGCAAAUUAAUACAGGAAGUUGCUGUGGCAGCUGUUGCAGCGGUAGCAGAAUCUGUAGUGGCUCCAGGUGAGCCCAAGCCUGUGCCUCCAGAGGAAAUGGCAAUAGAACAAAAACCUGCAGCAGUCGAAGCAGUUUCAGAAACUGAAGAAUCAACUGCAGCAGCAGCAGAAGAAGAAUGUGGCGUCACAACAGUGGAAACGACUCCAGUUGUUGAAGAAAAAUCUGCUGCUGCUGUAGCAGAAGAACCGGUUGUAACAUCAAUGGAAACAGCUCCAAUUGUUGAAACGGCCCCUGAAGCAGCAGCAGUGGAGUUGGUUCCAGUUGUUGAAGCUGAAGAGCAACCAAAAGCAGCAAACGAACCAGUUGUAAUGGCACUAGAAACAGCCCCAGUUAUUGAAAUAUCCCCUGCACCAGCAGCAGCAGUAGUUGAAUCAGCUCAAGUUGUUGAAGAACCCCUCCCUUCAGUUGAAGAUAAAGCCCCUGACGUUGAUCAGACAGUUCAAGCAUCAGCAGCCAUUGAAGAUGUUCAGGAAGAGGUUGCUCCAGCCUCAGAGGAACCUGUGCUGCCAAUUGAGGCUGUAUUAGAUCCUCCAGUGGUUCCUGAAGAGGUCCUAAUAGAAGAGCCCAUUGCAGCUGUUGAAUCUGUGCCAGAACAAAUGACAGCCCCUGAGGACAAAGAAACAGAGCUUGUUCCUGAUAAUGCUAUUGAGACGGAGGUCAUUGCUGCAGUCGCUGAACCUGAGCCAGAGGAAGAAUUAGUUCCUGAAUCAGUGCAAUUUUUGGAGGCAGAGCCUGAGGAAGUACCAGAACCAGAACCAGAGCAAGAAGUAGAAGCAGAGCAGGUAGCAGCAACUGAACUAGAACCUGAACUUAAGCAAACACCAGAGAUAGAUGAAGAACAAUCCCCAGAACCAGAACUUGAGCAGGAGGCAGAACCAGUAAAGCCUGCUGUAGAGGUACAAUUAGAAGACUUUAAGCCAGAACCGUUUAUAGUCACAUCUGACGUUACUGAACCCGAGACUGUGGCUGCAAACCUUUCAGAGGCCCUGGAGACUGCUGCAGAGGAAGACCUUACUGAAUUCCAAUCAUCAAAUGUUAAACCUGAUACAGCAGAAGCCUCAGAGGAAGCAGCUCAGCAAGAAGCAGCAGAACCCGUCCCUGACAUUGUCAUCUCAGAAUCUGUCUCCACCAAUCAAAUCACUCCUGAGGAAACAGCAGUUGAAGUUGCUGAGCAAGAGGUGCCUUGCCAGGAGCCUGAGGUGGAAACUAAUGGUGACUUGAAGAGCCCCACUGUUACAGAAAUAAAAGAUGAGGCCGAAGACGAUUCACCCAUAGCUGUGAAUGGGGAAUGUGGAGAUUCUAGUGAUGCUAAAACCACAGAUACAGAAGAGUAUGUCAAUGGGAAUGAAAAUUCUGAGGAGGAAGUUCCUGCCAAGGAUCAGAAUGACUUUGAACUGAAAAAGGAGAUCAACCUGAGUGGUGGUGUCCAGGAAGUCCCUGACGCAGUUCAAGACAUGGUAGAGAGUCUCAACACUGAGGUCACCCAAGCCGUCUGA